This is a long non-coding RNA of Aquila chrysaetos chrysaetos, 1469 nucleotides long. RefSeq lists it as uncharacterized. The record is from RefSeq and is a predicted model, not a curated record. NCBI's taxonomy places the organism in Eukaryota, Metazoa, Chordata, Aves, Accipitriformes, Accipitridae. The transcript is spliced from 2 exons.
GCAAUACUACAGCAAUUUCAGCUGAGUCCUGUAAAACACUGUAUACACUGCUUAAACUUGAAAGGCUGAGACAAUGCUUGUUUUUUUCAAAAUCGUGUGAAAUUGAGAGGUGAGCCCUGUCCUGCUGUGCGCCAGGGAAGUCAGAUGCUUCAGAAGGGAUCCAGUCUCCAGGCAGCUCCUCAUUCUUGGUGGGGGACAGGCCAAGAAGGAUGUGGCUCACAUCCGUGUGCCCCAGAAGAGUCAGCCAUGAUGCGUGUACAGAGACAAUUUCACUCUGCUCUGGAGAAGCUGCAGUCAUUUAGAGUUGGUAAAUGAAGGAGGCGUGAUGUUGAAGAGGAGCAGUCUGAAAGCGCUGAUGGUACAGUAAAGCAGCUCUAAGAGAAGCAGCCAGCUAAAGAGGGGAAACAGUGCAGCAGGAUGGUCUAAGUAAGUGUGACUGACUGCUCUGGGUCGCUGGGGUUUCGGCUGGACCUCAGCACACACGGUCAGUGAAGACAAGCACUGAACAGUAACUGCAUUCCUGCAAUCCUCACUUCCUUGCGGCGAGCAGCUACAGCUCCUGUUCUGGCUGAGUGGCUGCAAGGAGAAAUAAGUAUAAAAUAAUAUCACUUUCUCCUACACAAUCAUAGAUACGAGCCUUCAGCAAUCAUCAAAGCAGUGGUACGGGCUGAAAUCAAGCUAGAAAAGUCUCUCUCACUCCUAGAAGCCCUCCAUAAUUUACAACACAUUCACAAUCUUCAGAAUGGUUUUCCAGUAGAAAUUCCCCUGUUGAAUGCCCUGCUUGGCUCAUUUUCUGUUAAUCCUUAGGUUUGUGAGAGCAGCAAGGAGAAAUUCAAGACUUGAAGACUUUGCCCCAACAUGCAGUUGCCCUCUAGCGACCUGCAAAGGGUUUAGUUAUAUUUCUGGGAUGUCUGCACUAGCAAAUGCCCGCUGCACUUCAAAGCAGUGUCUGGUGCGUGCCAGCCCAGGUGGUUUAUGCUCCUGUGUCUUGUGACUGGAAGAAAAUACUCUAAAUGAAUUCACAUUUGCAUUAAAAAAAGAAAGUGGGGACUGGUGCUCCUUUAAAAUCAGGUUUUAUUUGUCUUCUCUGCUCUCUGUAUGUAAUAGAAUCCUGCUGUUUUUCUUUCCACACAAAUCUAAAUAAAUGGCACCACAGGAAAAUAACCAUUUACCUCCAGUUUACUCAUCGUUUGGACAAUGAGGUGGACCAUACAGGCUGUAGUCUUCAUCGUCUCCAUCUUUUCCUGAGUUUAGAGCUUUUCUUUUGGCUGUUGAAUCUUCUAAAAGUUAAUUUCUUGCCAAAGAUAACUGAUUGAGGAUGUGUGCUACUGCUAAAGCUUCCUGGUAAGGUUUUCUGUGUCAUCUGUUCAUUUCCUCCUUGUUGCCCAAAACAUGUAGAGAUUAAAGGCUGUUGCUGCUACUUCAUGUACUUCCUUUCCUGGUAUAGUAAAAGCAGCUUUGGGAGCAGA